RNAcentral lists this ribosomal RNA (46 nucleotides) under uncultured Glomus. RNAcentral describes it as "partial 28S ribosomal RNA". Lineage: Eukaryota; Fungi; Glomeromycota; Glomeromycetes; Glomerales; Glomeraceae. The record is from RNAcentral.
UGACCUCAAAUCAGGUAAGAGUACCCGCUGAACUUAAGCAUAUCAA